Molecule: ribosomal RNA, 301 nt
Filed under: uncultured bacterium
Lineage: Bacteria
Description: partial 16S ribosomal RNA
Rfam family: Bacterial small subunit ribosomal RNA
Source: RNAcentral
CAGUAGCCGCGGUAAUACCGAGGGUGCAAGCGUUAAUCGGAAUUACUGGGCGUAAAGCGCGCGUGGGUGGUUCGCCAAGUUGGAUGUGAAAUCCCCGGGCUCAACCUGGGAACUGCAUCCAAAACUGGCGAGCUAGAGUAUGGUAGAGGGUGGUGGAAUUUCCUGUGUAGCGGUGAAAUGCGUAGAUAUAGGAAGGAACAUCAGUGGCGAAGGCGACCACCUGGACUGAUACUGACACUGAGGUGCGAAAGCGUGGGGAGCAAACAGGAUUAGAUACCCCAGUAGUCCCUGUCUCUUAUAC